This is a long non-coding RNA of Helianthus annuus (common sunflower), 698 nucleotides long. RefSeq lists it as uncharacterized. NCBI's taxonomy places the organism in Eukaryota, Viridiplantae, Streptophyta, Magnoliopsida, Asterales, Asteraceae. The record is from RefSeq and is a predicted model, not a curated record. The transcript has 3 exons.
CAAGCCACUCUCGACACCAUCCUAUAUCUCUCAUCUCCCUGUUUCGAUAACAAUUCGCCGGAGACAACCGGAGAGGAAGCUCGCAACAUCGGAGACGUCGCCGGAACUCGAAUUCUCACCGAAGUCGUCACGUCGGAACUCACGUUAUCCUUUUGUUCGGAAUCCAACGCCGUCGGAGAAGACGACCAGAGUUUCGUCGGAGUUCAAGCUUUCGCCGGUUAAAUGGAGGUCGCCGGAGCUUCACGACGGGAACCAUGUCAAACGUCGUCUCGGAUAAUUGCCUUGCUCGUUAUCUUGGAUUGUUCUAAUUUUUACUCAUACGUCCUUACAAGAAGCGCAACACAAUCUAAGGUGAGUAUACAUGACCCAUUUUCCAUUUUCACACUUUUGGGUGCAAUAUGUAUUCUAUAUCAAUCACAUUAUUCACUUCAAACAGCUUUAUGCACACUCUAUCCAAAUUGCACGUGAUACAUUUGAUUCAUGUUAUACAUGUUAUGCUAUUGUAAACUCUCAUGACUAUGUGUUCAUUAACUUUCCAAGCCUCCCCUAACAAUGGUAGCGCUAUAGGUUGAGAAACGCCCCUCCUGUUAUUCUCGCGGGUAUUGUUAGGUUAAUCUAUGUUAAAACCUCCCAUUAUUCUUUGGGAUAGGCACGUUAAUUGCGUUAAACUUUGGUUUUGACACAUAGAGUAACAUCGU